AUGAAUAAGCAUCCCAUUGGCCAGCCUAGGAAAGCUGAUACUCUUUUACAACUUAGAAAUUCUGUUCAAAAUGGAUGUUUUCUGCAUGCAUCUAACAACAACAACAACAAAAAGCCUGAAAAAUCCACUGUAUACAUGGCUGUCUGUGAGAGCACAGCAGAUGGGGGAGAUUCUCACUUGAAGAUUAGCCCACCAGAAGCUGGAGAGAAACCACUGCCAAAAUCUCACCACGUCAUUGUUAUUCAAUGCGAUCCUCCAUUCAAAGAAGAUGCCUUCUGUAAGAAACCACUUUUGGGGAGAAACCUAAUUUUAGAAUGGCUAUACUACAAACAUACUGAAUGCAGAAGCAAAACCUCAGAUCCCAUUUUUUGUACAUUUUCAUAAAUACCAUUCCCUUUCAUGGCUUGUCUCUUUGCCAAAAGAAUGGCACGGCAGCUAACCUCCUUCGCUACUUCUAAGCAAAUGGUUCUUUGCUAUCUAGCGUGCGUUUGAAGGUGUGGUGAAAGAUCUUACAAGUUCCAAAUCAUGCCAACUUCAUUCACAUCACUGAGAGAAACAUAUGGCCAUUUGCACUGGAAUGAUCUAGUCCAAUUUUUCCCUUUUCAGAUUAGGAAACUGAGAUCCUAGUAUCUAAUACAAGGUUUAGAAUCUAGGUCUUUGAGAUGUCGAUGCUUUAUUCUCUGAAAUCUUCCCCCUAAACUAGGUUCUGCCUGAGGAAAAAGCCCUGGCAGAAAUGACGUGAUGUGUUACCACUUGUUCGGAAAGGCUCAGGAAACUCUACCCCUAGAACAGAGCUGCCUUCCUCCAGAAACAACUUCUUUUUGUUCAUUUCUUCUAGUCCAUUCACACCGAAGCAAGAUUUUUUUUUUUUCCACUG
Molecule: long non-coding RNA, 877 nt
Filed under: Ovis aries (sheep)
Lineage: Eukaryota; Metazoa; Chordata; Mammalia; Artiodactyla; Bovidae
Description: lncRNA (ENSOARG00000026209.1)
Source: RNAcentral